RNAcentral lists this ribosomal RNA (542 nucleotides) under Ascochyta medicaginicola. RNAcentral's name for it is "eukaryotic LSU rRNA". The stretch from base 172 to 325 matches the Rfam family "5.8S ribosomal RNA". Lineage: Eukaryota; Fungi; Ascomycota; Dothideomycetes; Pleosporales; Didymellaceae. The record is from RNAcentral.
UCCGUAGGGGGGACCUGCGGAAGGAUCAUUACCUAGAGUUGUAGGCUUUGCCUGCUAUCUCUUACCCAUGUCUUUUAAGUACCUUACGUUUCCUCGGCGGGUCCGCCCGCCGAUUGGACAAUUUAAACCAUUUGCAGUUGCAAUCAGCGUCUGAAAAAACUUAAUAGUUACAACUUUCAACAACGGAUCUCUUGGUUCUGGCAUCGAUGAAGAACGCAGCGAAAUGCGAUAAGUAGUGUGAAUUGCAGAAUUCAGUGAAUCAUCGAAUCUUUGAACGCACAUUGCGCCCCUUGGUAUUCCAUGGGGCAUGCCUGUUCGAGCGUCAUUUGUACCUUCAAGCUCUGCUUGGUGUUGGGUGUUUGUCUCGCCUCUGCGUGUAGACUCGCCUCAAAACAAUUGGCAGCCGGCGUAUUGAUUUCGGAGCGCAGUACAUCUCGCGCUUUGCACUCAUAACGACGACGUCCAAAAGUACAUUUUUACACUCUUGACCUCGGAUCAGGUAGGGAUACCCGCUGAACUUAAGCAUAUCAAAAGGCGGAGGA